UGUAUGUGUGCUGGUGAGUGUGAGUACAGAGAAGCUGCGGCCGCCAUUUCACGGAGCUUGCCGACGUUGUCGCAGGGGUGGAUCCUGAGCUGCCGAAGCCGCCGUCCUGCUCUCCCGUGCGCGCUUCUCUAAUCCCAUUGUUUCUUUUAGAUUUGCUCGGGCCUAGCCGUCCUCGGAGCCCGACAUUCGGGCUGGGCGGUAGUGGGGCCUGGGCCUAGGGGUUUAUCAGUAGUAAAAGCGGCAGCGGCGGUAGCAGCAGCAGCAGCAGUAGCAGUUAUUUCUUCCUGAAUACGAGCACCACAGGCUCCCGAAAGUCCGCACAGGCGUUUAGAGAAAAUGGCAGACGAUAUUGAUAUUGAAGCAAUGCUUGAGGCUCCUUACAAGAAGACUUGCCUAACGAUAUCUCACCUCUACUCCCAUGAAUUCACCUUUGAUUCCAGUGUGAACUGUCAAUCAUAAGGGCGAGAUGUGUGACAGAGGUGGCAUCAAGCUCUUACAGUCCCAACCCUCCAACGGAAAUGGGCGAAGAUCUCAGGAAUGGCAUCGGUCACAGGAAAUCGAUAGUGGCUGGCUGCUAGCAUGGCCACUUGGGGCUUAGGCAGAAAUAGAGCCAUGGUACUGACCAAAGGGACCAUAGCACAUGGAAUAAAACUCAAAACAGGACUUUAUUCAUGUUUUACAGAAAUUAUAUUUAACCACUUCAACAUUGUAAAUCUGGAUAAUUUAAUAUCUAUACUAUAUAACAAAGUAAAACUUAACAUGUUAAUAUGAAUUUUUAUUUUUGUAUGUUGAUGACUCAAUUGUAAGCAACAAAGUGGUUAAACACAUACCUAUCUAAAUUUUUUUAUAGCCUUCCAUAUUAAACUAUUAAUAAGUAAUUAGUUUUAAAAUUGUUUUGUAUUUUCUUAUUCCUGUUCCCUUUACCCUUUGACAACUUGAAAUGUUACCACUUCGUCCUCAUGAUGUUCUUCUAUCAACCCUGCUUAGGAUGAGAACAAGUUGAGCAGUGCUAAUGGCCAUGAAGAACGUAGCAAAAAAAUACUUUGCAUUUAAAAUUUAGAUCUUCUUUCAUGGAAGAGGUCAAAUCCAGUUAUAGCAAAACACCUUUACAGCAGAGGCCAUAUAACCAAAAAAUCCAAAGGCCCAGCCCAGUGGACCAUUUACUUCAAUGAUGUUCAGUACAAAAUUCCACUGCCACUAAAGACUUUGGAAAGUCCUUUUUUUAAGUUGUAACAGGAUUUGACUAUUAGUGUGGAUUUUGAUAACCCUUCUGUAGUUAAUGUUCUUUGAAGCUGGAAUUUGCUAUUGAGAAGUAUACUGGUUUCUUGCACCCUUAAAUUUUUGACUGGGCUUUUAUGCAAAAGAUUGUAUUUUCCAAAUGUCUUAGUAUGGUGCUGUCUUUUUUUUACCUGUCUGGGGUUGCCUUCAGAUGUGGGUGGGGACUCAUUUACAGAAAGUCCUAGGAAGACCUUAAGUUAAAAUUAGCUCUCCAAUUUUCAAGUCUUUUCUUUUGGCAGAAUAAGUUUGGGGCCUAUGAGAGGUAAAUAGGGAGAUAGGCUGCCUCUCUGCUAUAGGCCAUCUACGAGCAGAUCAAAAACUUUGCCUUUUUUUUUUUUUGUGAGGGAGCGAGUUACUUUUUACAUUGUCCCCUAAUUGAAUUGGUUAUAUUUAGGACUUCGGUCUUAGCCAUCUUGCAGAAUUCUUUAUUCUUAGUGAUAUCGUCAGAUUUUUCAGGCAACAAAGUUGGAAUGCUAUCCGUUGCCCAUUUGGGCAUUGCUUUGAUGACUUCUAUAUAAGUAAUGAGUGUAGCCUAACUUUCUGUCAUGUGCUACUUAGCAUAUACAUUUCUGACAGUCAGGUGGAUUAUCUUGA
RNA transcript from Galeopterus variegatus (Sunda flying lemur), 1872 nucleotides. It is a transcript of the gene named RNA-binding protein 39-like, with no coding region annotated. The transcript is spliced from 5 exons. The record is from RefSeq and is a predicted model, not a curated record. NCBI's taxonomy places the organism in Eukaryota, Metazoa, Chordata, Mammalia, Dermoptera, Cynocephalidae.